Molecule: ribosomal RNA, 255 nt
Filed under: uncultured bacterium
Lineage: Bacteria
Description: partial 16S ribosomal RNA
Rfam family: Bacterial small subunit ribosomal RNA
Source: RNAcentral
UACGUAGGGUGCAAGCGUUGUCCGGAAUUAUUGGGCGUAAAGAGCUCGUAGGCGGUUUGUUGCGUCGGCUGUGAAAUCCCGAGGCUCAACCUCGGGUCUGCAGUCGAUACGAGCAAACUAGAGUGUUGCAGGGGAGACUGGAAUUCCUGGUGUAGCGGUGAAAUGCGCAGAUAUCAGGAGGAACACCGGUGGCGAAGGCGGGUCUCGUGGGCAACAACUGACGCUGGAGGAGCGAAAGCGUGGGGAGCGAACAGG